GGACUACCGGGGUAUCUAAUCCUGUUUGCUCCCCACGCUUUCGAGCCUCAGCGUCAGUAAAAGCCCAGCAAGCCGCCUUCGCCACCGGUGUUCCUCCAUAUAUCUACGCAUUUCACCGCUACACAUGGAAUUCCGCUUGCCCCUACUUCACUCAAGAACUUCAGUUUCAAAUGCAGCUCGCAAGUUGAGCCUGCGCAUUUCACAUCUGACUUAAAGUCCCGCCUACACUCCCUUUACACCCAGUAAUUCCGGACAACGCUUGCCACCUACGUAUUACCGCGGCUGCUGGCAC
Molecule: ribosomal RNA, 292 nt
Filed under: uncultured bacterium
Lineage: Bacteria
Description: partial 16S ribosomal RNA
Source: RNAcentral